UACAGAGGGGGCAAGCGUUGUUCGGAAUUACUGGGCGUAAAGGGCGCGUAGGCGGCCGCCUAAGUCAGACGUGAAAUCCCUCGGCUCAACCGGGGAACUGCGUCUGAUACUGGGUGGCUUGAAUCCGGGAGAGGGAUGCGGAAUUCCAGGUGUAGCGGUGAAAUGCGUAGAUAUCUGGAGGAACACCGGUGGCGAAGGCGGCAUCCUGGACCGGUAUUGACGCUGAGGCGCGAAAGCUAGGGGAGCAAACGGG
RNAcentral lists this ribosomal RNA (253 nucleotides) under uncultured bacterium. RNAcentral describes it as "partial 16S ribosomal RNA". It matches the Rfam family "Bacterial small subunit ribosomal RNA", at positions 524 to 776 of the family's 1533-position model. The record is from RNAcentral.